Molecule: long non-coding RNA, 837 nt
Filed under: Pan troglodytes (chimpanzee)
Lineage: Eukaryota; Metazoa; Chordata; Mammalia; Primates; Hominidae
Description: long non-coding RNA NONPTRT005112
Source: RNAcentral
GACCUCGUGAUCCGCGUGCCUCGGCCUCCCAAAGUGCUGGAAUUACAGGCUUGAGUCACCGUGCCCGGCCAGUUGGUUGGAUUUGUAGAUGUCCUCCCCUCCCUUUGUGAUUUAGACAGCUUGGACCUUAAAUACCUGAGGGGUAGCCAAGGCACCUGUUGCCUAGAAACUUAGCAGAAUCUCCACCUCUCCCCAGGCCUAAUUCCAUUUCUUGGGAUCGUCCAUUCUCUGACUCACGACAGGGUACAGGAGGCCUAACCAAUUAUGAGCACAAAGGAGAGAUUAAGUGAACCAAUAAGUGUUUAGUCCCAAGUGGGCCUGGAUUCAGUUUGCCAAUCCUACCACAUGGCGGCGAUAGGAAGCAAGAGGGGUAGUCACAAUAUGCCUUUCUAAUACGCAAUGACUGCCAACGGUAGCCCAGACAGUAUUCUAGAAGUUGACAAAACAUAGACGCUCCUCCUUGGGACUGAAAUGUAUGGGGGCGGGGGGAAGAGCGAGAAGGGAGAGUGAAAGAAGAGGAUAGAGAUUUUCUUUCUACUUCAAAAUACAUCUUUCCAGUCACUUUGGUCCCCUGGUUUGUGAUGCAGAGUCCUUCAUUCAGUUUCCAGUGCAACCCUUUCUGAUGAAUUCACCCCAGAGUCACUUUUACUAUCAUGGGAUCCAUCAUAUUAAAAUGGCACUUAGGAGCUGGGUGAGGCAGUGAGGAGGAGGACAAUGGAAAGACUGAGCAGCAAGAAGAGAGGAGGACAUAGGAAAACUUACUUCAUAUUGUGUCCGGAAUUGGUGGCUUCUUGGUCUCACUGACUUCAAGAAUGAAGCCGCGAACCCUGGUGGUGA